CCCCCCCAUUGUAACCUCUACUCUGUAAUCCUUUUGCGCUACCGCGGGAAAAUAAAAAUCAAUCCUUACAUUCCCGUAAACUUAGCAUACUCAAAAUUUGUUCCGUAAGCAGUUAAUAAGUUAUUGUAACUCUUGUGUUUACCCUAUAAAUUAAGUUCUCUUAUUGGAUGGUAGAUGGCCAAUCAGCGCUCAGUUAACAAAAUCAUCAACCAAUCACAAGAGGAGGAGAAAUCAGCUGAGAGCAACGCAAACAAGAAACGACCAAAUUUCAGUGAGACGGAAGUAUACGCCAUAGUGUGUGAAGUCGUCAAAAGAAAGAAAAUAAUUUUAGUGAAGUUGGACUCGAGAUGUACAAUCAAAUAUAAGAAUCAUGUCUGAUAAGAAGUAGUAAAAGCAGUGAAUGUUGUUGCUCGUAUCCCCCGCAAUGUUGAUGAAGUCAGGUGGAAGUUUUCCGAGUUACGUGUAAGCGUGAAGAAAAGCAGCACAAGAUAAGAAAUAUACUGGUGGAACAGAUCAUGGGACAACAGACCACGAGUGAAGCUUCUCACAAUACACAACGGUGUUCCUUCAGGUAACAGCUGAUGUACGUGAAGGCCAAUGGAGAAGUGACAGAACCUCGAGCAAGAUUUAACUACCAGCAUGUUACUUCAGCCUCAUCAGUUAAGUUACUUGUACAGUAUAUCUUAGCUAAUAUCUUUAUCCAAUAAACCACUCGACAAUGCUCCUACACUGGGCAGUGGAGGGUGUGUGUGUAUCUUGGCUAUUAUGGUCAUCCCAUAAACUACUCAACACCGUGCUUCUACACUCGGCAGUGGAGGGUGUGUGGGGGGCCUGGCUGACAGUGUGAAGGAGGGCUCGUGAGUACUUAGUGGACAGAUUGGUCUUCGAGUAAAUUUAAUAUUAGUUGUAGUGACAGUAUAAAUAUACAGGAGUAGUAUAUAUAGGAUAUAGUAGUGGUAGUAGUAAUAGUAUAGUAGUAAAUACAGCAAGUAAAGCAAGUUGUUGUGGGUGGGUUUCAACUAACUUUACUAACCUAACUUAACCAGCCUAAGUUAAUUAAACAUAAUAACGUAGAGUGAACCAAAUCCGUAAUAAGGUCACCGCUUGAACUCCUCUCAUAUUUGCUUCAUUAUCGUAAGAUUGACCUCCACAAUCCUCAAAAGAAAUGUUCAGUUGUUUGUCUUCCGAGUAGAAGUCAUGACAAAUUUAGCCCUGUAGACUUCUCUACCUCAAGGAACCCUAAGAAAUGCUCCUUUAUUGAUGACUUGUCUUCAAGAAAGUUGCUCAAAUCAGGGGUAUUUCGAUGCUUUGAUAUCGUCCACGAUUCUUUCAGUAAUUUUUGCACUGAUAAUGUUAAUCAGUUCAUUUUGGAUCAUUUUGGACCAUUGGAUUGACAGUUAAAUUUUUCAGCUGACCCUCUAGAGCCAAAUUGAUUUCAGCUAGAGACUGAAUAAUCGCCAUUAGUCUAGUGAGGACUUGGCGCCACCUGUUCCACUCAGCCAUUAACAUUUCCAUUUCCCGUCUGUCUAUCGUCCUUCCACUUGCAAUGUUGACCUCCAGUUCCUUCUAUGUUGUCAUGUUUUUUAGUGUGUUCUAUGUUACUUUCAUGUGUGCUGAGCAAAUGACUAGUUCUCAGUUGGAGUCAAUUUGUUACCAUUGAAUUUAUUGAGAUAACACAAGUUUGGUGUUAAAUUUUUCAGUGUUGUAUUUUUCAACCUGUUUUUUUUUUAACGGAGAAUUUUAUUACAUAGCGCCUUACCAUUUCUUACAGUGUAGACUGAUAUGCAUUGUUGGUAAAGAGGUUAUAUGUAUUUGAGAACUAAUUCCGGUGUAUUUUCAGCCAUAGUAUUGAGUGGGUUGAGGACUCUGUGGUGAAAUGGACAUCUAAGACAUACAAUCUCUGAAAAUGAAUUGCUGGAAGCACCCUCUGUACAUGUAAGGACCACCAAUUGUGAGUAAAGCACAGAGUAAAUUGUGUAGUGUUAACACAGUGUCAAGAUAAUUGAAAAAGACAGUGAAUUCUUGUGAGUACAGAAAAUCCGCUUUGUGUUAAUCAUCCGUGAAAGCUACAGAGUUAUAUUUUCUUGAGACAUUCUCGUCAAGUAUCAUCAAGUAUUUUAUUUUGAGCAUUGCUAUGAGUACUUUGUGAAUUGAAAGUUUGUAUUGUCCUCUUUAGAGAUACUUAAUUUUCUGAGUGAGUCACCGAUACUACUGCCGAUUAUUUAUUUUGGUGAGUAUCCAUUUAAGAAGUAUCCGAGGCAUUUAUGUGUCAAUGUUUACCCCCUUUGCUCUGGAAGGGUGUUAAUUGAAUUUAUCUUUGGUGGGGUUGUUUUGUAGAAGAUUUGUUGUGACAUCAGCGCACGAUGAUCACAGUAGUUGUGAAUAAGUUACAACUUAUGUGUGAAUUCCGAGAACUUGCCAAAGCCAUGGAGGCCAGCAUUCAUCGGCGGGGAACGCCGAAGGCUCGGAGGGGUAGUGAGAAAAUCAAGUUUAGAGAUUUUCUAUCGGGAUCAGAACCAGAGGAAAGAGAAAGGUUGGCCAGUCCCGGGAACCCAGGGGGAGCUCCUUCGGCUAGGAAACCAAAUAAGUAAGACAGUUUUUAUUUAUAUUUUUCUCUUGAAGGUGGCGGCCCCAAAUUGAAAAUACAUACACUGCAAUUGAAGAAGCAGUUCUUCAACUCUUAGAUCCAGCCUCUAUACAUGGGAUUCCAGGGAUUUUGGAAAGUGAAGAACUUAUUGAUGGUAAUUCACUCAACAUACUUUUCCAACCCUCUGGCUUAUGCUUCCCUAAGUUAGAUAUUGGCUUAGGUAAUGACUUUCAGAGGGGAACCUUUUCUGGAAAAUUAUUAGAAAAGAUUCCCAGAUAACAGAUAAAAAUCCGGAGAUGGGGGAUAUUUCUCUGGGUUCGAGAGUUGAUCUAAUUGGCAAUUUCAGGAGCUACCGAAAACAUUUUUCUAUUACCAUAAACAUUCUGGGGAUGAGGAAUUUUUUCUGGAUAAUCGUCUUGUUACCCAGAAAACUCUCAUUCACGUAAGUGCUCACAGUAUUUGGUGUUUUGCCCCCAAUAGAAUUUGCGUUAACCCCUGGCCUAAUGUUGCCCUGUGACAAGACACACAAGCUAGACUAAGAUAACCUUAUUCUGGGUCACUUCAAAUAAAUUUGUUAUUGAUGGCAUAGCCUUGCCUAACCUAAAUGACAAAUAAUUUCUCUUAAAUUACUGAUUUAGCCUAGAUCAUGGUGUUUUCCUUUCGAUGUCUGGGUAAUUGGGUUCAUAAAAAAACAAAAAAAAAUUAAAUCCUGAAACUAUAUCACAUUAGCCUUAAAGUUUCUAGAAUUAAUACUCACUGACGGCCUGACACUCACCAAUAUUGCCAUGUACUGUACACACUUUCUCUAACAUAACAUAACAUAAUCUAACCUAUGUAAUUAUUCUUCAUGUUCUAACUAAUUUAACUUGGCCCCAAGUUUAAACAUUUAUUUGGCUAAGACUGAAAAAGCUUAAUCAAGUUAAUUGCAAUCCAUAUUUUACACCUAAUAUCAUUGAAUUUGGGCUAGCCUAUGGACAUGUCAUGUUAUCAUAAGCCAUAUAUGUAAGAAAAUAGGCGAAGGCUAUUGGUUGAAUAUUAAAAAAACAAGGCGAACAAUACAAACCUUCUGUUUUGGUAAAAAAUACUUGAAAAGUUUGUAAGAAAAUAAACUGCGACAAAUACAAACACUCAAGCCUCUUAUAUUUGUUUUGAGUAUACCAUCUGUGUUUACUGAUCUGAGACUGUAAGUCCAGUUACGGGGUAUAAUCGGAUACUACUUGUCUUAGGCUCCACCCACCAGGGACUGCCAUACUAUAGUUGAGUGUUACUGAAAUUAUUCAAUAAAUGUAACUUCAUUUUAAUAAACCAUUUUAUAAUUUUAAUAAACUAUUUUAUUUGUA
RNAcentral lists this long non-coding RNA (3927 nucleotides) under Homarus americanus (American lobster). RNAcentral describes it as "uncharacterized LOC121877181, transcript variant X1". The record is from RNAcentral. Lineage: Eukaryota; Metazoa; Arthropoda; Malacostraca; Decapoda; Nephropidae.